AUGGCCUCGGAGACCGCGCCGUUCGGCCUCACGGGGACGGCGCACAGGCCGCACGGCCACGUCGUGCUCGCCGCGCGCGUCCACGACGCGCUCGUCUUCGCCGCGGGCGCCGUCGCGGCCGUGCUCCUCCUCCUCUGCUUCUCAUCCCUGCUCGCUCCAACGCCCGUGCCCAACCUCGUCGCCGGCCCCUCCCUCCCCUUCCCCACCUCCUUCCCGCAGCCGCAGGAGAACGACUCCGAGGACGGCCUCUACGCCAGGGUCGCCGCACGCCCGCGCACCUUCUACGACGACCCCAAGCUCUCCUACGCCGUGGGCCGGCGGGUGGCCGGCUGGGACGCGAAGCGGGCCGAGUGGCUGCGCCUGCACUACCCGCGCGGCCCCGGGGAGCGCGUCCUCAUGCUCUCCGGCUCCCAGUCCUACCCCUGCGCCGGCGACGGCGGCGACCACAUGCUGCUCCGCUUCCUCAAGAACAAGGUCGACUACGCGCGCCUCCACGGGAUCGAGCUGCUCUACAACACGGCGCUGCUGCAGCCCGACAUGGUGGCCUACUGGGCCAAGAUCCCCGUGGUGCGCGCCGCCAUGCUCGCCCACCCGGAGGCCGAGUGGGUCUGGUGGCUCGACGCCGACGCCGUCGUCACCGACAUGGACUUCGCGCCCCCGCUCGCCACCAGGUACAAGGACUACAACCUCGUCGUCCACGGCUGGGACAGGGAGGUGUACGAGGCCAGGUCCUGGGUCGGCCUCAACGCCGGCGUCUUCCUCAUCCGCAACUGCCAGUGGUCGCUCGACUUCAUGGACGCAUGGGCCAGCAUGGGCCCGGCCUCGCCGCAGUACGCGCGAUGGGGCAAGACCCUCAAGGCCACGCUCAGCGACAAGCCCGACGCCGAGUCCGACGACCAGUCGGCGCUGGCAUACCUGCUGCUCAAGAACCCCAAAAAAUGGGGCGCCAGGACCUACCUCGAGAACCAGUACUACUUCCAGGGCUACUGGGCGGAGAUCGUGGACAAGCUCGACGGCGUCGCGGAGCGGUACCGGGCGGCGGAGCGGCGGUUCGGGCCCGCGCUCCGGCGGCGGCACGCGGAGGGGGAGCACGCGGUGUACGCGGCGGCGAGGAACGCGGCCCUCAGGAAGAAGGACGGCGGCGUCCCGGGGCCCGACGGGGGCGGGCAGAAGGCGUCCGCCUGGCGCCGGCCCUUCGUGACGCACUUCACCGGAUGCAACCCCUGCGGCGGCAGGCCCAACGAGAUCUACUCCAACGAGAGCUGCGCCGAGGGGAUGCGGCGCGCGCUCAACCUCGCCGACGACCAGGUGCUCCGCGCCUACGGAUUCCGCCACGCCGGGCCGCUCAAGGACGACGUGCGCCCGCUCGUAGCCUAG
RNAcentral lists this ribosomal RNA (1377 nucleotides) under Triticum aestivum (bread wheat). RNAcentral's name for it is "partial small subunit ribosomal RNA". Lineage: Eukaryota; Viridiplantae; Streptophyta; Magnoliopsida; Poales; Poaceae. The record is from RNAcentral.